Molecule: long non-coding RNA, 925 nt
Organism: Balaenoptera musculus (blue whale)
Lineage: Eukaryota; Metazoa; Chordata; Mammalia; Artiodactyla; Balaenopteridae
Exons: 3
Source: RefSeq, a predicted model, not a curated record
AGAGCACCAGAGGGAAACUGUCCUUGAAAAUGAGAGAAGCUCGAAAGACCUGCAGAUCCAGGUGAGCAGCCCUUUCAGCCACUGGUCGAGUUCGCACUUGGCAUGAGGACAUAUUCAGGUCACAGCAGCAGUGAUUACCAAAAGGAGACAGACAAAAGACAGGUACCAGAAAGAGCUGAAACACCUAGCUCUGUGCCGACUGCCUUCACGUCUGCAUGUCUCCGACAGUCCAUGCGCGGGCGGCCGCCGCGAUGCUGUGUCAGUUCCAGGCCACAGCCACCAGCCGCUGCAGCGCAAAACUAAACAGAGGAGCCGGCCGGCUUGGAGCUGGACUGGGGAGGUCGGCUCUUCUGGUGCUCAGCAGGCUUUCUGCCUGACACUGAUUCUCCCAGCUCUCUGGGUGAUCCCGCCACUCAGGGGAGGCAGGGGUUCAUGUCAGCGGAGUGGAACGGACUCCGUGUCCCUUCAAAGUUGAGACUGCUACUUUCUAGACCCUUUCAUCUCUCCAUAUAAAUAAACCAAGCCUGGAGAGUCUCCAAGGCACCUUUGUUAAACGAGACAGAAUUUAAGCUCCUCCUGAGAGCUUUCUGGUAACCUGAUUUCCAUCCCAGUGAAGAAGUAAAGGUACCAGUGUCGUGGUGACAAAGCAGAAAGAGAAUAUGAGAAGCUGCCUGUGGACACGUGUUCCAGUGAUUACAUCACUCACAUGGAUUUCCUGUUUCUUAGUAAAAUAGAUAUGAAUAUUGUCACAUUGAAAAUUCACAAAGUUCCACGUGUUUGGUUUCAUCCUCACCUUCUUUGUUGAUGAAGUAAAGUAGGAAUUUUCUAUCCAAGUUCCAAACUUGUGAUGAUGCUGAGAAAAUUAAAUUUGAUGUGAUUUGGCUACUCUCAAGUCCUCGAUCAGGAAAGUCAAUAAAUAAACAAA